CUGUUAACGUCACAUAUGAACAGUUCUUCAGAUAAACUAUAACAUAAACAACAGAACAGAACAAGUUUAACAAACUCUCCAUCUCACUCCAAAUCACUAAAUCCAUUCAAUUCUUCAUCCUCGGUGUCACUUCUGAGCAACUCCGCGACCUCCAGAGGUAAACAGAGCGCCGCUUCCUCUUCUGUGUCGCUGUCGUCAGACUCAGCAUCAGUUCCAGUUAGAAUUAUCCUGGCAUUUCUGAAUCCCGACAGGAUGGUUUUGGUUGUCACUGAAGUCCAGGCUUUGUCGAUCCAUCCAGUGACUUCCAGGAAAGUGCUGUCACAGGUUUCUCGCUCACUUCAAACUUUCUUUCUGCUGCUCGAUUACCGUUUUCGGCUAAAUAUUUCACUACUUAUAGCAGGACAGCGGCUUUUUCUACAGGAGACAUGCGCAGUAGAGUGAAGUGACAGUGAUACAGGAGUAAUAGUGAUAGUGACACACAAGACUAGAGCCUCUCGCGGCUGUCAGAGUGAAAAUUUUAAUAUAUAAGUCGCACUGGAGUAUAAGUCACAGGAAACAACCAAACCAUGAAAAAAAGUGCAACUUAUAGUCCAAAAAAUACGGUAAUUAUUUCUAUAGAGACUGGCAGAAAAGUUACACUGAGCACCUUUUAAUAUACUGACAAAAACAAAUAUUGAUGAACUAUAUUUUUGCAAUCCUUCAGAAACGUGCCGGUAGAUGUCUUUUGUUUUUGAAUUUUAAGUAUUGCACUCAAUUUGAAUGAACUGUGAAAUUAAGCAUAAACUUGUUUGGAUAAUUUAACUGUUAUGUUUCUUUUCUGCUCAUUUUUUAUCUUUCCUUUUACUACUUUUUGAAGAUAUUUAAUGGCACUGGCAUUUUUGGUCUGGUGGAUUGCAAAAAUAUCAUUGCAGAGAGAGUAUCGAGCUGUUCAUUUUCUACUAGGAAUUAAGAACUAGGUCUGAAAAUGAAAGCAACUCUUUUAAAUGGAGCCAAAAUUAUCCGUGUAUCGUUCGUUCAUUUGUUUUUCAGUAUAAAACCAAAAGUCAGAAAACAAAAAAGCAACAGUUUUCUUCAUUAUUUGUCUCCAAAUCCAAGAUGAAAAAAACAGAUCACGAUUUGUUUUUUCAGUUUUCGAUUUUUGUGUUUAAAUGAAAAAUGGAAAAAAACGAUAACGUCCGUAUCCCGUUUACGUGACUUAAACUGCGAUGCCGGACUGAACCAGGACUGAACCAGGACUGAAACAGGACUAAACCAGGUCUAAACUGUUUUCAGUCCUGGUCUGAUCCCAGUCUCGGCCCUGGUCCUGGUUUGGUCCCGGUUUCAGUCCCGGUCUGGUCUCGGUCUGGUCCUGGUCUUAAUCCUGGUCUCAGUUCUGGUCUCAGUUCUGUUUGAUCUCGGUCUAAGUCCUGGUCUCAGUCCUGGUCUAAGUUCUGGUUUGAUUUCAGUCUAAGGACUAAACCCGAUCUAAUCCGUUUUCAGUCUUGGUCAGAUCCCAGUCUAGUCCAGGUUUCAAUCACUGUCUGGUCCUGAUCUCAGUCCUGGUCUGGUCCCGGACCUGGUUUGGUCCUGGUUCAGUCUGGCAUCGCAGUCACGGAAGUCACGUAAACGGGAAACGGCCGUUGUCCGUUUUUUUCCAUUUUUCAUUUAAACGCAAAAUGGAAAACUGAAAAAACAAAUCGUUAUCUGUUUUUUCAUUUUGGUUUUAGAGAGAAAUAAUGAAGAAAAUAGUUGUUUUUUCAUUUUCUUAUUUUUGGUUUUAUUUUGAAAAGCAAAUGAACAAAUGAUACACGGAUUCAGAAUAAUAGUACAGUUUAGCACAUGUUGUUUCCUGCCAACAGUUCGUCAGGAGAUUUUGGAGACCACGCACAAGACUGCCUCUUAGAUUUAUAGCUUUAAUUUGUCAAUGUUGUUUUUUUAAUUGACCAUUUUGACUUUUCAUGUUCUGUAGUUUACAAUAACAAUCUGCCUUGUGUGCACUGAUUUGCAUAAUGGUUUUGACACACUUCUGUCCAAUUUCCUCUUUUAUUCAAUAGACCACAGAUAAUGAAGCUACUUAAGGUAUACAGACUUUCAACUGGUUUUCAGAUUCAACUGGUCCAUUUUUAUCGAUAUAAAAGAGACUCUGUCAAAGUUGAGGAGAUCUACAGACCAGAAUCAGCCCAGAUCUACAGAAUUAUUAAAAAUCUGAGCUCAGUUGUUGAACCAGCUUCAUGGACCAAACGAGUGAGUGAGUUUUGUGUUUUGUGCGAUGAUGAGAGUGGAUCUUUGUGGCCUUUAGUCUUUUACAGCAGAGUGUGUUGUUUUGUUUACACUGACAGAUUCAUGCAGCAUUUCAGUCCGGCUCAUAUUCAAGAUUAGAAUCAUUUCUGAGAGAAUGUACAUUUUGAACUUUUUACACUGUAAGAUAAAGUUAGAACCCGUUUAGUCUUUUCUAGUGUGGUGAGCUACUGAUGGUUUCCCUGAUUAAUCAAACUUUUGCCACAUCCUGUUUGCAGAAAAGCACAGACCUGUGAAAUGGUCUGCUAAUAUUCAAAAUGUAAUAGUUCUGUUAAAACAGCAGCUUAUGUGCCUUUGUUGCCUCCAUGUUUGUUUUGAAUCAUUUGGACCACGGAGCUGCUCUGUGAUUGGUCCAGUCCAUCGUUGGGUUUGAUCCAAAACACAGGAGUGUGUGUGAAAUAUUUAACAGUGCAAAUUGUCGCUCUCAAAUCUUUUCACCAUUCACCAUGUGAUGCUGUAGCUCUCAUUUGACGUUUACAUUUAGUAAAAUCUGAUUUGCUUUGAGUUUUCUAUACAGAUCUAUGGCUCUUCAGAAGUUUGCUGCCUUUAGCACAGAUACAUUUCAGAAUGUGAGCUCUGUGUCUAAAUAUUUCAACAUUUCUAGUUGUUUCACGUCUCAUCUGUUUGUGUGAAAUGUGUUUAUGCCUCAGUGUUGACUUGAUUCAUUCAGAUGACUGAAUGUACGUAUUUAAAAGUGUAAAAACAUCACAGACGCAACUGUGUUGUCUCUGUUAUGUCAAAUAUAUAUUGCAAAAUAAACUUUACAAUUAAUUGA
Boleophthalmus pectinirostris (great blue-spotted mudskipper) is the source of this 3052-nucleotide long non-coding RNA. RefSeq lists it as uncharacterized. The record is from RefSeq and is a predicted model, not a curated record. NCBI's taxonomy places the organism in Eukaryota, Metazoa, Chordata, Actinopteri, Gobiiformes, Gobiidae. The transcript is spliced from 2 exons.